UACGGGGGGAGCAAGCGUUGUUCGGAUUUACUGGGCGUAAAGGGCGCGUAGGCGGCCUCCGCAAGUCAGUUGUGAAAUCUCCGAGCUUAACUCGGAAAGGUCAACUGAUACUGCGGGGCUAGAGUGCGGAAGGGGCAACUGGAAUUCUUGGUGUAGCGGUGAAAUGCGCAGAUAUCAGGAGGAACACCGGUGGCGAAGGCGGUUCUCUGGGCCUGUACUGACGCUGAGGAACGAAAGCGUGGGGAGCGAACAGG
This 254-nucleotide ribosomal RNA is filed under the name uncultured bacterium. RNAcentral's name for it is "partial 16S ribosomal RNA". It matches the Rfam family "Bacterial small subunit ribosomal RNA", at positions 524 to 776 of the family's 1533-position model. The record is from RNAcentral.